UGUGUAGGCGGCUAGGUAAGUCGGAUGUGAAAGCCCCGGGCUCAACCCGGGAAGUGCACUCGAUACUGCUUAGCUCGAGUACCGGAGAGGUUGGUGGAAUUCUCGGUGUAGAGGUGAAAUUCGUAGAUAUCGAGAGGAACACCGGUGGCGAAGGCGGCCAACUGGACGAGUACUGACGCUGAGACACGAAAGCGUGGGGAGCAAACAGGAUUAGAUACCCUGGUAGUCCACGCCGUAAACGAUGGGUGCUAGGUGUCACGGGCUUUGACUCCUGUGGUGCCGCAGCAAACGCAUUAAGCACCCCGCCUGGGAAGUACGGCCGCAAGGCUAAA
Molecule: ribosomal RNA, 332 nt
Filed under: uncultured bacterium
Lineage: Bacteria
Description: bacterial SSU rRNA
Rfam family: Bacterial small subunit ribosomal RNA
Source: RNAcentral